Molecule: ribosomal RNA, 1312 nt
Filed under: uncultured bacterium
Lineage: Bacteria
Description: bacterial SSU rRNA
Rfam family: Bacterial small subunit ribosomal RNA
Source: RNAcentral
GGCGAACGGGUGAGUAACACGUAGGGAACCUGCCCGUGCACCGGGAAUACGCUCUGGAAACGGAGAACAAAUCCCGAUGUACAGGAAGGAGGCAUCUUCUUUCUGUGAAACAUCCUUUAGGGGAUGGGGCGCGGAUGGACCUGCGGUGCAUUAGUUGGUUGGCGGGGUAACGGCCCACCUAACCGACGAUGCGUAGGGGUUCUGAGAGGAAGGUCCCCCACACUGGUACUGAGACACGGACCAGACUCCUACGGGAGGCAGCAGUGAGGAAUAUUGGUCAAUGGUCGGGAGACUGAACCAGCCAAGCCGCGUGAGGGAGGAAGGUACAGAGUAUCGUAAACCUCUUUUGUCAGGGAACAAAGACUGGGACGCGUCCCCGGAUGAGUGUACCUGAAGAAAAAGCAUCGGCUAACUCCGUGCCAGCAGCCGCGGUAAUACGGAGGAUGCGAGCGUUAUCCGGAUUUAUUGGGUUUAAAGGGUGCGCAGGCGGUCUGUUAAGUCAGCGGUCAAAGCCCGGGGCUCAACCCCGGCCCGCCGUUGAAACUGGCAGUCUCGAGUUGGAGAGAAGUAUGCGGAAUGCGCGGUGUAGCGGUGAAAUGCAUAGAUAUCGCGCAGAACUCCGAUUGCGAAGGCAGCAUGCCGGCUCCACACUGACGCUGAGGCACGAAAGCGUGGGUAUCGAACAGGAUUAGAUACCCUGGUAGUCCACGCAGUAAACGAUGAAUGCUGGCUGUCCGGGGGGACUGACCCCUGGGUGGCGAAGCGAAAGCGAUAAGCAUUCCACCUGGGGAGUACGCCGGCAACGGUGAAACUCAAAGGAAUUGACGGGGGCCCGCACAAGCGGAGGAACAUGUGGUUUAAUUCGAUGAUACGCGAGGAACCUUACCCGGGCUCAAACGGGGAGUGCCGCAGGCAGAGACGCCUGUUUCCCACGGGACACUCCCCGAGGUGCUGCAUGGUUGUCGUCAGCUCGUGCCGUGAGGUGUCGGCUUAAGUGCCAUAACGAGCGCAACCCCUACCGCCAGUUGCCAACGGGUAAAGCCGGGAACUCUGGCGGGACUGCCGGCGCAAGCUGUGAGGAAGGCGGGGAUGACGUCAAAUCAGCACGGCCCUUACGUCCGGGGCGACACACGUGUUACAAUGGCAGGUACAGCGGGAAGCCACUUGGCGACAAGGCGCGGAACCCGAAAACCUGUCUCAGUUCGGAUUGGAGUCUGCAACCCGACUCCAUGAAGCUGGAUUCGCUAGUAAUCGCGCAUCAGCCACGGCGCGGUGAAUACGUUCCCGGGCCUUGCACACACAGCCCGUCAAG